RNAcentral lists this ribosomal RNA (292 nucleotides) under uncultured bacterium. Its description in RNAcentral is "partial 16S ribosomal RNA". The record is from RNAcentral.
GGACUACAAGGGUUUCUAAUCCUGUUUGCUACCCGUGCUUUCGCGCUUCAGCGUCAGUUACAGACCAGAUGGCCGCCUUCGCCUCAGGUGUUCCUCCCGGUAUCUAUGCAUUUCACCGCUACUCCGGGAAUUCCGCCAUCCUCUUCUGCACUCCAGUCAAAUAGUUUCUGAUGCACUUCCUCAGUUAAGCCAAGGGUUUUCACAUCAGACAUAUCUAACAACCUACGCGCCCUUUACGCCCAGUGAUUCCGAACAACGCUUGCAACCUCUGUCUUACCGCGGCGGCUGGCAC